AUUGAACGCUGGCGGCAGGCCUAACACAUGCAAGUCGAGCGAGCGGCGGACGGGUGAGUAAUGUCUGGGAAACUGCCUGAUGGGGGGGGGUAACUACUGGAAACGGUAGCUAUUACCCCAUACCCUCAGGUGUGCCCAGGUGGGAUUAGCUAGUAGGUGGGGUAACGGCUCACCUAGGCGACGAUCCCUAGCUGGUCUGAGAGGAUGACCAGCCACACUGGAACUGAGACACGGUCCAGACUCCUACGGGAGGCAGCAGUGGGGAAUAUUGCACAAUGGGCGCAAGCCUGAUGCAGCCAUGCCGCGUGUGUGAAGAAGGCCUUCGGGUUGUAAAGCACUUUCAGCGGGGAGGCGUUACCCGCAGAAGAAGCACCGGCUAACUCCGUGCCAGCCGCCGCGGUAAUUC
Molecule: ribosomal RNA, 406 nt
Filed under: uncultured bacterium
Lineage: Bacteria
Description: partial 16S ribosomal RNA
Rfam family: Bacterial small subunit ribosomal RNA
Source: RNAcentral